Molecule: ribosomal RNA, 253 nt
Filed under: uncultured bacterium
Lineage: Bacteria
Description: partial 16S ribosomal RNA
Rfam family: Bacterial small subunit ribosomal RNA
Source: RNAcentral
UACAGAGGGGGCAAGCGUUAUUCGGAAUUAUUGGGCGUAAAGGGCGCGUAGGCGGUUUUUUAAGUCGGAUGUGCAAUCCCCAGGCUCAACCUGGGAACUGCAUCCGAGACUGGAAGGCUAGAGUACUGGAGAGGGUGGUGGAAUUCCUCGUGUAGCGGUGAAAUGCGUAGAGAUCGGGAGGAACACCAGUUGCGAAGGCGGCUCUCUGGACCAGCACUGACACUGAGGCACGAAAGCGUGGGGAGCAAACAGG